Molecule: non-coding RNA, 202 nt
Organism: Oryza nivara
Lineage: Eukaryota; Viridiplantae; Streptophyta; Magnoliopsida; Poales; Poaceae
Source: Rfam
AAAAAGGCAAACCGUGGGUUCCCGUGCCAACGUUUGACUAUCCGUCUUAUAUGAAAUUUUUUUAUAACUAGUAUUUUCAUUGUUGUUAGAUGAUAAAACAUGAUAAAUACUUUAUGUGUGACUUAUCUUUUAAUUUUUUUCAUAAUUUUUUCAAAUAAGACAAACGGUCAAACGUUGGAUACGGAAUAGGGUUUGUCUUUUU